RNAcentral lists this long non-coding RNA (1374 nucleotides) under Sarcophilus harrisii (Tasmanian devil). RNAcentral describes it as "lncRNA (ENSSHAG00000030295.1)". The record is from RNAcentral. Lineage: Eukaryota; Metazoa; Chordata; Mammalia; Dasyuromorphia; Dasyuridae.
CUCCUCUGUUAAUCUGGGAAGCCUAUAUUUUUGAAGGUAGUCAUCCAUUUCACAUAGGUUAUCAAAUUUAUUGGCAUAAAGUUGGGCAAAGUAACUCCUAAUUAUUGCUCUAAUUUCCUAAUAAUUGCUCCUAAUUCCUUCAUUGGUGGAAAGUUCUCCCUUUUCAUUUUUAAGAAUAAUGAUUUGAUUUUUCUUUUUCCUUUUUCUAAUUAGAUUUACCAAACGUUCAUCUAUUUUGUUGGUUUUUUCAUAAAACCAACGCAGUUUUAUUUACUAAUUCAAUAAUUUUUUCUUUACUUUCAAUUUUUUUCAAUUUCUCCUUUUUAUUUUAGAAUGUCAAGUUUAGCAUUUAAUUGGGGUUUUUUUAAUUUGCUCUUUUUCUAGCUUUUUAAGUUGCAAGCCCAAUUCAUUGAUCUUCUCUUUCUCCAUUUUAUUCAAGUAAACCUCUAAAGAUAUAAAAUUUCCCCUUAUUACUGCUUUGGUAUGUUGUAUCAUUGUUGUCAUUUUCUUGGGUGAAAUUAUUAAUUGUGUCUAUGAUUUGCUAUUUCACCCAUUCAUUCUUUAGGAUGAUAUUAUUUAGUUUCCAAUUACUUUUUGGUCUAUUUACACCUAGCUUUUUGUUGAAUGUAUUUUUUAUUGCAUCGUGAUCUGAAAAGAAUGCACUUACUAUUCCUGCCUUUCUGCAUUUAAUUUUGGGGUCUUUAUGUGUUAAUAUAUGGUCAAUUUUUGUAUAGGUUUCAUGAACUGCUGAGAAGAAAGUGUACUCCUUUCUGUCUCCAUUCAGUUUUCUCAAAAGAUCUAUCAUACUUAACUUUUCUAAUAGUCUAUUUACCUUUUUAAUUUCUUUCUUAUUUGUUUGGUGGUUUGAUUUAUCUAAUUCUGAGAGUGCAAGGUUGAGAUCUCCCAUUAUUAUAGUUUUUCUGUUUAUUUCUUCUUGCAACUCUCUUAACUUCUCCUUUAGGAAGUUAGAUGCUAUACCACUUGGUGCAUAUAUGUUUAGUAUUGAUAUUGCUUCAUUGUCUAUGCUACCCUUUAGCAAGAUAUAGUUUCCUGAGUGAAUACAUUAGAAAACUGGCUCUUCACUGUCUAAGUGCAACCUUACUGACUUAUUAAUGCAGGUAAGGAAGGGGGUACUGAGGAGCUAGUUCAGAGUUCGUUUGACAUUUUUAAACCUUUUGAUUUUAGAUGCCCUAAGUCAUGGAAACAGCUGAAGCUACUUUAUCUUUGUCUCAUAAAUUCUGUUUUGAAGAAAGGAUUAGAGAAAAAUAUCUGGUCCUUCAUUUUGUUAAUCAUGGUAUCCACAUUUGCAUUUUUAUUGACUCUGCUCUGUUCUUGUAGUGACUAAAUUUAUGGUUAUUAUAGCUUUUGUUUAGG